AGUAAUGACUCCGCUCCCAAAAGGCCAAUUGAAAAAUUAUAUGAUCUCAUUCGAAGAGCUGUCAGGGCAAUGCGGAUGCAUGACAUAGGCCUGCCGUAGUCGUUUGCUUCAUUGCAAGAUAGAAAUGUGACUCAUGCGGAAGUCGAACAGGUCGGGCCUCAGCUGUCAGGUUGACAGGGAAAGCAGUACAAAGGCUGAGGGUGAGCUGGAGCCCAUUCCAGCUCACAUCGGGCGAGCCGGUUACACCCCAAACUGGUCGCAAGUCAGUCGCAGAGCACAUGGAGGCAAGGGGUGUCGUGAAAACAAUCUUGAACAGCAGCUGCUUUCAACUAAACUGUUUUAAAUAUGUCAAGCAUGUGGUUUCGUUUAAACAGUGCAUCUCUGUUAGACAUCCGGCUGGGAUGUUGUUUGACAGACAAGUACAAGCAGGCUUUUAUCCUCGUUUCGGACCAGGUUCUAGGAUUUUUAAUGAAACCAGAACAGGCUGCUCGGCGAUCAUCCUGUUGAGUUCAUUGUCCCACUUUUCUUGGCUUCUAUGGCAACAGGCAGAGCAUGACAUUGUGUUCAAACAUAGGGUUGGGUGAUUACUUGGAGUGCAUUGGUCAUGACGAUCCUUUAUUUUAUAUCAAUUUAUUUAGUUAAACUUUUGACCCCGCCCCAAGAUAUUUCCUUUUUUGCUGAAAUCGCCUCGCCUGACCGAACGUUAGAAUGCUAUCUUGUCCAAUGUUAAAAUACAUGUUUUGGGAAACGAUAUAUACAAAACUUUAUUUUCUGAUUCCUGUCUUUAUAUCGUUAUCUAUAUAUUUCCGUGUGGAUGCAUGUGUGUAUAAAGGUUCUCUAAAGCCCAAAUUCUUCAAAUAAAAUUUAAAGAAACAUAAAACUCAGAAGCAACUUGAAGCUUAUUUAUACCAAUUUAUAUCUGGUGUGCAUCUCGCACAAAAGUGGAUUUAAUAAAUAUUUCGAUACAUGGGAUGCCGGUUCAAAUAUGAGAGACAAAAUGAAGGCAUUAUUUAAAAAAACAAAAAUUGCACUUACCAACCAGUCAUAUUCUUGUGCACUUGUCAUCGCUUUAGCGCCAAUGAUUUGAAAGAGAAAAAAAAAGUUUACAAGGAAAUUGCGCCAUCAACAAUAUAACAAACAUAACAAAAUCUUGCUCGUAUUGCUUUGAGACUGUGGG
Hippocampus zosterae (dwarf seahorse) is the source of this 1177-nucleotide long non-coding RNA. RefSeq lists it as uncharacterized. NCBI's taxonomy places the organism in Eukaryota, Metazoa, Chordata, Actinopteri, Syngnathiformes, Syngnathidae. The record is from RefSeq and is a predicted model, not a curated record. The transcript is spliced from 3 exons.